AAAUAGUGACAUACUGAGCUCCUGUGGAUGGACAACAACCCCAGGAGCUGAAAAAACAAGCUGUGGAACAGAGGUAACUUGUCCCUGAACACAUGAAGAGCUGAAGUCAAAGAUGGGAAUGGGACUCAGAUGUCCAGCAUGAGCAGCUUGUGAUGACUGUCUGGGAAGGCACCUUGUGGAAAAAAGUUCUGAAACCCAGGAGGAAGGGAAGAGGCUUGAAAACCUUGCGUCUGAGCAGGGACAAGGAUGUGUCUGUUGGCAAAGGGUAUACAGCAGCCCAGUGCACUGUUAGUGAUGGAACUCUGCAGUACAAUGAUUUGAUGAGGCCAUGAUCUUGGAAAGAUACAAAAAGAGAUGGGCUGUUUCAGGCGAAUCAUGAAGAAAUCCUGAAAU
Molecule: long non-coding RNA, 393 nt
Organism: Manacus vitellinus (golden-collared manakin)
Lineage: Eukaryota; Metazoa; Chordata; Aves; Passeriformes; Pipridae
Exons: 4
Source: RefSeq, a predicted model, not a curated record